UCUAAUAUGGCAGAAUAGUGCAAUGAAUUUAAGCUUCAUAAAUAAAAGAUCUCUUUUUAUUAGAA
Molecule: transfer RNA, 65 nt
Filed under: Ornebius kanetataki
Lineage: Eukaryota; Metazoa; Arthropoda; Insecta; Orthoptera; Mogoplistidae
Description: tRNA-Leu
Source: RNAcentral